Molecule: long non-coding RNA, 1486 nt
Organism: Tigriopus californicus
Lineage: Eukaryota; Metazoa; Arthropoda; Copepoda; Harpacticoida; Harpacticidae
Exons: 2
Source: RefSeq, a predicted model, not a curated record
CAAUUUCUACUCAACCCAAAAAUAUUUCUUUUGUCAAGGUCUACAAAUCCCACCUAAAAUGGCUUUUUUCUUACAAACGUCGCUUAUAAUUCCACCCUCCAGUAUUAAUCCAGUACUACAGUUUUCUUAUCAUCUUAUUCUUCUUUUAUCAAGACCUUGUUUGGGUCAUUCCUGAAUUGUUAUCUGAGAGUUUUGACCAAAGCAUUCUCGCGGAAAACGCUGAGCACGUAAUAAUUAAGUUCAUGUCUAAGAAGGUGUUGGUCAAAUCAGAGGAGCAAAAGCAUGUGUAAGUACCUUGGUACACAAUUGUUUCUUUAUUAGGACCUUAAACCACCAUUUCAAAAACAUGCAGUUGAUAAUAGAGGACCGCAUGAAUUUGAGGAGCCAGCAGUGAGGGAUUGCCUGAGAUGCCCGAACAAAGAUCAAGGCGGUCGAAAGAUCACGGUUUGCCGUUCUUGCGGUUGGAGCCGAGGCUGUUGUAUGAGGAACACGAGCCACUGCUCAGCUAACAAGGGAAAUGGACCUCUUAGGAAAACGGUUAUUGAUAUAAUCAACAUAAUACGGAUUUCAUUCUUUGGACAAAAGGCUGAUUCAUCAGCCAACUCCCCCAUCUCGAAUUCCUAGGUGGAUCAGAUAUUUUAUGAAUAUCAAGCUAAAAUAUUAAAACACAUAAAUUUUUUCAUCCUUAAUGGCUUGGAAUUCCAUUCCCAGUAGUAGCAUAGCAGUCUACAAUAUCUGUUAUUUAAGAGAUAUGUCAAUAAAUGUGAAGAAAGAAGAGAUGGUGAUGGUAUUGGAAACGACUGCCUUGGGAAGACAGAGAAGACGGAUCUAAAUAAAGCAUGUUGCAGAAAACCCCUGUUCUAAUGGUUCCACCGUCCUCUAUCCGAGAGCAGCUGGGUUAUUUAUGUGAGCCCGGGUUCCUACGAAUGAAGGUGGCAAUGAUUUGCUCCCUGAGAGACAUGUGAGACUAGCCGAUUGACGAGCUUGACAAAAGCCGAGGAAGACAAGACUAACGAACGGACUUCCGGCAUUUUUCGGAUUUUUUUUUAUUUUCUUAAAUUUAUUUUUCCAACAAUUAAUGACGACCCAAAAUCCCUAUCGCCAGGCCAAAUCCACCAGCCCAAUGGAAGUUUCUCAUGGAUAAGUUGAAAUACAUGCAAGAUCUCAAUCUUUGCCAACUUCAAAGGGAAUUUGGCCAACUUCACUGAGGACUCAGCUAAGUAUGCAAAUAAGGCAAGCUCAUGAUGUGUCUCAUCCCAAAAGUAGUACAGAAUCCCUCAAAUGUGACUCAAAACUGCAGUCUUCCAUUGGUUUGGACAUAAGAUGGAAACCGAAAGUGAAGAAACCACGAAAAGAGUUGCUCACAAACAGUGGCCGAUGAAAUUUGCCUCAUCCUCAUCUCUCAAGGAAAUCCGCUACAUUUUUUGGAACAUCUAGUGUUGGAUUCAUAUGAACUUAAGAACGAGAAAUAAAGCUGAGAUGACGA